AACGAACGCUGGCGGCAGGCCUAACACAUGCAAGUCGAACGCUGUAGCAAUACAGAGUGGCAGACGGGUGAGUAACACGUGGGAAUCUUCCUAUCGGUACGGAAUAGCUCAGGGAAACUUGGGGUAAUACCGCAUACGCCCUUCGGGGGAAAGAUUUAUCGCCGAUAGAUGAGCCCGCGUCUGAUUAGCUAGUUGGUGAGGUAAUGGCUCACCUAGGCGACGAUCAGUAGCUGGUCUGAGGGGAUGACCAGCCACACUGGGACUGAGACACGGCCCAGACGCCUACGGGAGGCAGCAGUGGGGAAUAUUGGACAAUGGGCGCAAGCCUGAUCCAGCCAUGCCGCGUGAGUGACGAAGGUCUUCGGAUUGUAAAGCUCUUUUGGCGGGGACGAUAAUGACGGUACCCGCAGAAUAAGCCCCGGCUAACUUCGUGCCAGCAGCCGCCGUAA
Molecule: ribosomal RNA, 449 nt
Filed under: uncultured bacterium
Lineage: Bacteria
Description: partial 16S ribosomal RNA
Rfam family: Bacterial small subunit ribosomal RNA
Source: RNAcentral